Molecule: non-coding RNA, 175 nt
Organism: Gemella haemolysans ATCC 10379
Lineage: Bacteria; Bacillati; Bacillota; Bacilli; Caryophanales; Gemellaceae
Source: Rfam
CUUUAUCUAUAUUGUUAUUUAAUAACCCUUUUCCAACUAAAUGAACGAUUUGAUAUUUUUCAGUAAGUUGAUCAAUAUUAUCCCAAAUAUAAUCGUUUAAAAUUUUUGAUCCUAAAGAUCCACCCAUGACUAAUAAUACAGGUUUAUCUUCAUUAAACCCUGUUAAUUCAUAAGC